CUGUAGAUGAGGAGAGAAUCCUAAGGCCGACGGGAGAAGCAUUGUUAAGGAACUCGGCAAAAUGACCCCGUAACUUCGGGAGAAGGGGUGCCCACGCGAGUGGGCCGCAGAGAAUAGGCUCAAGCAACUGUUUAGCAAAAACACAGGUCUAUGCGAAACCGAAAGGUGAGGUAUAUGGGCUGACGCCUGCCCGGUGCUGGAAGGUUAAGAGGAGGAGUCAGGCAACGAAGCUCCGAAUUUAAGCCCCAGUAAACGGCGGCCGUAACUAUAACGGUCCUAAGGUAGCGAAAUUCCUUGUCGGGUAAGUUCCGACCCGCACGAAAGGCGUAAUGAUUUGAGCACUGUCUCGACAAUGCACCCGGUGAAAUUGAAGUACCAGUGAAGAUGCUGGUUACCUGCGCCAGGACGGAAAGACCCCAUGGAGCUUUACUCCAGUUUGAUACUGGGAUUCGAUACUGAAUGUACAGGAUAGGUGGGAGGCUGAGAAGCGUGGACGCCAGUCUGCGGUGAGCCGCUGUUGGGAUACCACCCUUUGAGUAUUGGAUUUCUAACCUGCGCCCGUGACCCGGGCGGGGGACAAUGUCUGACGGGGAGUUUGACUGGGGCGGUCGCCUCCGAAAGGGUAUCGGAGGCGCUCAAAGGUUCCCUCAGAAUGGUUGGAAACCAUUCGCAGAGUGCAAAGGCAGAAGGGAGCUUGACUGUGACACCGACGGGUGGAGCAGGUACGAAAGUAGGACUUAGUGAUCCGGUGGUAUGAAAGUGGGAUUGCCAUCGCUCAACGGAUAAAAGCUACCCUGGGAUAACAGGCUUAUCACUCCCAAGAGUUCACAUCGACGGAGUGGUUUGGCACCUCGAUGUCGGCUCAUCGCAUCCUGGGGCUGUAGCAGGUCCCAAGGGUUGGGCUGUUCGCCCAUUAAAGCGGUACGCGAGCUGGGUUCAGAACGUCGUGAGACAGUUCGGUCCCUAUACGGCGCAGGCGUAGGAUAUUUGAGAGGAGCUGUCCUUAGUACGAGAGGACCGGGAUGGACAGACCGCUGGUGUAUCUGAUGGUGACCAACACCAUGGCAGAGUAGCCAAGUCUGGCAGGGAUAAACGCUGAAGGCAUCUAAGCGUGAAGCCCCCCUCAAGAUGAGAUAUCCCAAUAAGUAAGACCCCUUAGAGAGUAUGAGGUAGAUAGGCUUAAGGUGUAAGCAUAGUAAUAUGUUCAGCUGAUAAGUACUAAUAGGUCGAGGGCUUAUC
Molecule: ribosomal RNA, 1239 nt
Filed under: metagenome
Description: bacterial LSU rRNA
Rfam family: Bacterial large subunit ribosomal RNA
Source: RNAcentral